AUCCAGCUGACGAGUGCCAAAUAGGACGAAACGCGCGUUCUGGAU
RNAcentral lists this non-coding RNA (45 nucleotides) under Schistosoma margrebowiei. Lineage: Eukaryota; Metazoa; Platyhelminthes; Trematoda; Strigeidida; Schistosomatidae. The record is from RNAcentral.